Molecule: long non-coding RNA, 852 nt
Organism: Actinia tenebrosa (Australian red waratah sea anemone)
Lineage: Eukaryota; Metazoa; Cnidaria; Anthozoa; Actiniaria; Actiniidae
Source: RefSeq, a predicted model, not a curated record
AACGCUAAAUCAGACAGCAAGGAAUGAUGGGRCUUAGUAUCCAUUCUCGUACCCAGACCCUCCUCAUUAGCCAAUCCGCACGAGUAGAGUCUCAUUCCAAUCCCCCUUAACAAAGCGUCGCUUCGUAGGCCCGAMUUAAAAACCCAUUUAUCUUAUACGCUUUCUGCCUUUAAUUUACUCUCCUGCCGAUGGCGAUGAGACACUUUUGGUUAUAAAAUCAAAAUCGAAAAAAACUGUGGUAACUGAGGUAGUAAGUGCAGGCCAUUUACAGCACGUUAAACCGUAUGAAGAAGUUACUACCUAUCCAGACAAGGAAAGACAUAUACCAACAGUUCAUCUCACCACACUUCGAUAACUGUUCCGAUGAUUGGCACUUUUGUAGCAAAAACGCAACAGACAAGCUAGAGAAAGUUAAUGAACGAGCAAUCCGUUUCGUUUUUCAAGACAAGAACAGCUCGUAUACUAAUCUACUCAAAAAACUGGGAUCCACUACUCUGUACGAGAGAAGACUCAAGAAGAUUAUACUAACUGUCUUCAAGGCCCUUCAUAAAGACAACAGCCCAGAAUCCAUAAAGGAACUGUUGCAACACCGAAGUACAAGUUACAAUCUAAGAGGAACGAACAUUCUAAAACUGCCAAAAAUCAAUUCUACAACGCAGGGCCUUAAAUCAUGGCGGUAUAUUGCUCCCAAAACAUGGAACAGUCUACCAGAGAGCAUGAGACGAGAAGUGAACAUAAAAAGCUCCCUUAAAGAAUUAAGAACAUUGGAACUAGAAACCUUGUAUAACUUACAGACAUAAUUAUUUAUAUUUUAUUUUAAGACACUGUAAAUAAAUCGCAUUUUAUAUUUUA